CGUGUAGGCGGAUUGGCAAGUCAAGCGUGAAAUCCCUCGGCUCAACCGAGGAACUGCGUUCGAAACUGCCUUUCUUGAGUGUGGAAGAGGAGAGUGGAACUCCUGGUGGAGCGGUGAAAUGCGUAGAUAUCAGAAGGAACGCCGGCGGCGAAAGCGGCUCUCUGGUCCACUACUGACGCUGAGGCGCGAAAGCCAGGGUAGUGAACG
This 207-nucleotide ribosomal RNA is filed under the name uncultured bacterium. RNAcentral's name for it is "partial 16S ribosomal RNA". It matches the Rfam family "Bacterial small subunit ribosomal RNA", at positions 568 to 774 of the family's 1533-position model. The record is from RNAcentral.